Molecule: long non-coding RNA, 2498 nt
Filed under: Salmo salar (Atlantic salmon)
Lineage: Eukaryota; Metazoa; Chordata; Actinopteri; Salmoniformes; Salmonidae
Description: lncRNA (ENSSSAG00000084915.1)
Source: RNAcentral
UAUAAUUAUGUAUAGUUAUAACUGUACUAUCCUGUGGUAUAACUAUGUAUAGUUUUAACUGUACUAUCCUGUAUAACUACGUUUAGUUAUAACUGUACUAUCCUGUGGUAUAACUAUGUAUACUUAUAACUGUACUAUCCUGUUUAACCUGUUGGGGCUCGGGGGCAGUAUUGAGACAUUUUGAAAAAAAUAUGUGCCCAUUUUUAACUGCCUCCUACACCAACUCAGAAGCUAGGAUAUGCAUAUUAUUAACACAUUCAGAUAUAAAACACUCUGAAUUUUCUAAAACAGUUUGAAUGGUGUCUGUAAGUAUAACAAAACUCAUAUUGCAGGCAAAAACCUGUGAAAAAUAGAUCAAAGAAAAUGUGAAUUUUGUGACUGUACUAUUUAGUGUCAUUGUUUUAUAGAUACCAUAGUGAGAAAGGAUUCAUUUCGCAACACCUACGGCUUCCACUAGAUGUCAACGAUCUUUAUAAAGUUGUUUGAAGCGUCUAUGAUAAACAGAGAGCAAAUUAGAAUCCAAGGAAGUUGACAUGUCAUCACUUCAUUUUUUUGCGCCUGCGCAUAAAUAUGAGAAACGUGAGUUUGUCAUCAUUUUUUAUCUAGACAUAGGAUAGGUUGUGUGAAAAUAUUACUGAUGUUUAACGUUAAAAAUGGACCAAAAGAUUAAUGCUAAACAACAUUUGACAUGUUUGAACGAACAUAAAUAGAUUAUUUACUAGGUUUUUUUAGCUUUUCGGGCGUGAUUUUACCAGCCCCCCAACCACGUUUUGUGGGAGCAUAAUGAACGCUAAGUACUUGGUGUUAUUUGGACAUAAAUUAUGAACUUUGUCAAAAGAAACCACAUUUGUUCCGGACCUGGAAUGCCUUCCGGACCUGGGAUCCUGCCUUCUGAUGGAGAUAAUCAAAGGGGGACCUGAGCCCUAGGACCAUGCCUCAGGACUACCUGGCAUGAUGACUCCUUGCUGUCCCCAGUCCACCUGGCCGUGCUGCUGCUCCAGUUUCUACUGUUCUGCCUGCGGCUAUGGAACCCUGACCUGUUCACCGGACGUGCUACCUGUCCCAGACCUGCUGUUUUCAACUCUCUAGAGACAGCAGGAGACGUAGAGAUACUCUCAAUGAUCGGCUAUGAAAAGCCAACUGACAUUUACUCUUGAGGUGCUGACCAGUUGCACCCUCGACAACCACUGUGAUUAUUAUUAUUUGACCAUGCUGGUCAUUUAUGAACAUUUGAACAUCUUGGCCAUGUGCUGUUAAAAUCUCCACCCGGCACAGCCAGAAGAGGACUGUCCACCCCCAUAGCCUGGUUCCUCUCUAGGUUUCUUCCUAGGUUUUGGCCUUUCUAGGGACUUUUUCCUAGCCACCGGGCUUCUACACCUGCAUUGCUUGCUGUUUGGGGUUUUAGGCUGGGUUUCUGUACAGCACUUUGAGAUAUCAGCUGAUGUAAGAAGGGCUAAAUAAAUACAUUUGAUUUGAUUUAAUAUCAACUCCAUUUAACAGGCUUCCUUGUAAUAUACCACUAUAUUCAACAGGCUUCCUUGUAAUAUGCCACUAUAUUCAACAGGAGGCUUCCUUGUCAUGUAAUAUCAUACCCAGCCAUGUGAGCGCUAAUAUCAUAUUAAGCAUUUAGCAUUUUCCAACCAUAGCAAGCCAUGUGAGCGCUAAUAUCAUAGUUAGCAUUUAGCAUGCGCCAUCCAUCCCCAGCCAUGUGUGCCCUUGUCGCGUCCUGACCAUGGUAAGCUGUUAUUUUUCUAUGGUAGAGUAGGUCAGGGCGUGACGGGGGUGUUUUUCUAUGUAUUGUUUUUCUAUGUUCAUGUUCUAGUUUUGUAUUUCUACGUUGGUUUUGUUUGGGAUGAUCUCCAAUUAGAGGCAGCUGGUCCCCGUUGUCUCUAAUUGGAGAUCAUACUUAAGUAGGUUUUUCUUUUUCCUUCUGGUGUUGUGGGAUCUUGUUUUUGUAUUGCUCAAUGAAGCUUGCAGAACGUGACGUUCGUGUUUCCUUGUUUAUUGUUUUUGUAUAGUGUUCUGAGUUAAUAAUAAAUAUUUAUCAUGAGCACUCAUCACGCUGCACCUUGGUCUACUCCUUACGACAAUCGUAACAGCCCUAAUAUCGGCACAUUUAGCAUACUCCAUCUGUACCCAGCCAUUUGUGCGCUAAUGUCAUAGUUAGCAUGCAACAAAUCUAUAUUCCACAUUAGGAAACCCAGGGCUGACAUAUUGGCUUCCUGUCUGUAUUAUUAAGUGACGGCAGACUGCUGCUCUGUGUGAUUAACCACUAAACUGUCUGUGGACAUUAUGUUCAACCACAUUAUAGUUUAGAUCAGGCCACAGGAGGCCAAGCAGGGCUUCUGAUCAACUGAUUGCUGGAUCUUCAUGUUGUGGCUGACCGAUUCAUCACCAGGGAUGUGUCUAAAAUGGCUGACCUAAUCAUCCCCAGGGUUGUGUCCAAAAUGGCUGACUUAAUCAUCACCAGGGAUGUGUCUAAAAUGGCUGACCUAAUC